GUAGGGAAUAUUGGGCAAUGGUCGGAAGACUGACCCAGCCAUGCCGCGUGCAGGAAGACGGCCCUCUGGGUUGUAAACUGCUUUUAUCUGGGAAGAAAAAGGCCAUGCGUGGCAAAUUGCCGGUACCAGAUGAAUAAGCACCGGCUAACUCCGUGCCAGCAGCCGCGGUAAUACGGAGGGUGCGAGCGUUGUCCGGAUUUAUUGGGUUUAAAGGGUGCGUAGGCGGCUGAUUAAGUCAGCGGUGAAAGACUUCGGCUUAACCGGAGCAGUGCCGUUGAUACUGGUUGGCUUGAGUGUCGGAGGGGUACAUGGAAUUGAUGGUGUAGCGGUGAAAUGCAUAGAUACCAUCAGGAACACCGAUAGCGAAGGCAUUGUACUGGCCGACAACUGACGCUGAUGCACGAAAGUGUGGGGAUCGAACAGGAUUAGAUACCCCAGUAGUCC
This 444-nucleotide ribosomal RNA is filed under the name uncultured bacterium. RNAcentral describes it as "bacterial SSU rRNA". It matches the Rfam family "Bacterial small subunit ribosomal RNA", at positions 354 to 796 of the family's 1533-position model. The record is from RNAcentral.